Long non-coding RNA from Felis catus (domestic cat), 4732 nucleotides. RefSeq lists it as uncharacterized. The record is from RefSeq and is a predicted model, not a curated record. The transcript is spliced from 4 exons. NCBI's taxonomy places the organism in Eukaryota, Metazoa, Chordata, Mammalia, Carnivora, Felidae.
AGAUAUUUGCAAAUGACAUAUCAGACAAAGGGCUAAGUAUCCAAAAUCUAUAAAAAACUCACCAAACACCACACCCAAAAAAUAAUCCAGUGAAGAAAUGGGUAGAAAUGUGUGGCCAACCAAAACACUAGUUUAUUUGAAGGUUCCCAGGGAGAAUGCUUGUAGAUAGGCUAUGCCGGUGGUUAAGGGCAGAUCCCACCUCCUAUGUGCGACAAGAGAAAGGGAAGGCAGAUACCUAUUUCCUAGAUUUGACCAAUGCCCAUUUGAAAUGCAGGACCAUGACUCACCUCAUGGUGAUUCCGAUCCCAUUGCUGCUUUUCUAACUUUUCCUCAGUUCACACACCAAGACCAACGUUCUGUCCCAUACCAACCAAGGUCCAAGGAUUGGAGUGAAGAACCAGGCCUUUCCUGAGUCAAUGUAGAGCUCUCAGAGUCAGAUUCCUGAGAGGACAGCUAGCACGCCUGUCCCUGAGCCCUCGAUGCAUAGCAGGCCACACUAUCGUGGGAAUGGAUAGACACAUGAACCCCAGACCCUAAUUGACUGACAUACCCUCGUUUGGAAGAAAAGACAGUGAAUGUGCACAGUGAACCGAUCAGCACACAAAAAGCCUUUUGAAUCAAUGGUGCACCAUAGCCUCGUUCAACCCUAUUGAUCAUCACAGGAAAGCAUAUUCUUCAUGACUGAGAAUAACUACUGCCCCUAUCUCCCGACAUGAUGUGCAAAAGGACAAGCCAAAGCUUCCCUCUAUUUCCUAAGAGAUAAUGUGGGUCUCUUGCUCACAGGGCUCCAAGGGGCAUCCUUUGAGGUACUCCUUUAGCCAACCCCACACGGGUUCUUCUGAUGCCUUAGCGAGCCAGCGUGCUAAUAAUAUAUUGUGCUGAUCACACUGUUCUAAACAUUACCCGAUCUCCUUUAAUGAAGAACUCUGGCCCUCGGUGUACCAAGUUUCAUGACAUUGCUUUCUUCUCCACCACGGUUCCUCUUGGGAUCCCCACAAAUUCAGUUGCCCAGAGUCAUAGCACUGGCUCCCAAAUGUGCAGUGUGGACUAGCCCUUGUGUCUGUGGGACAGGUUGAGUAAAAAGGGGCCCUGGCACUUUGGUUUCAGGAUUCCGUGGACAUCCAGAGCCUUAGGCCAUUCGAAGGGGUCCAGUUGAGAACUGUUUCUGUGGAGGCUGAGCCACAUGUAAUUGAUGCCCAUAGAAAAUUAAGUUUAACAUGCCCUUGCAAAUGGAUCACAUUCCCAUUGGAUGGAAAUGGUGAACGUACAUUGGUCUACCGGAGCCAUUCCCUUUCCUUCCUGUCAUUCUGACUCAGUCUGUGUUCACCCUUCUGAGCCAUGGAGCUGGCACUGACACAGAGGGCACCAAAGGAUGAGGUUUUGUUGCCCACUCAGUCCCUCGCUCAGUGACAGCCAUGAGCAAGGCAUAUCUGAAAGGAGAAUAGCCCUCCAAUUCCUGGGCUUGGUGAUUGGCUGUUUGUAGCAAGGGGUGGGGGAGGCUAGCCAGCUUGCCUCAUUGUUCUGCCUGAUGGAGGGACCUUCCUUCUGAAAAGCAGACAGUUCACACAGGAGCAGGAGUCUCCAGAAGCUGGUCAGCACAAGAAGAGCCCUUUACAGGAAGAGGGUCCCAAAUGCCCCUUUCCACACUUUGGAGGAAGACCUGGGACCCUUUGACUACAGCACUGUCACUGCUUACUCCAUUCAGUGAUUGGAAAUGUGAGAAAAGCAAAGCCCAGGACUCUCUAGGUACUUCUGAAGGAAGAACACAGGCCUGUUGCUCCCAUGGUCCGAGAUGCGGACGCUAGAUGGCGAUGUUGCCUAAGGCUUCUAGUGUUUCUUCUUUUUCCCAUAGCCAGGUUGCCAGGAGCUGGUGCUGGACCCUUCUCCACAUAAUUCCCCUUUCAAUCUCUGAAGACCUCUGACCCUCCUUAUCCACCGUAAUACAUCUUUGCUGUCUUGUAGAAACAAGGUUCUUCCCACAGUCUGUUCAGAGUCAGUGUCUCAUGGUCGUAUCCUCUGCCUUCCACCCGGAGUCUGACUCAGUUCUUGAGACUGUGAGAGAGAUUUUGGCCACAGGGCUCCAUCUUCAGUAAUUCAUUAGAUUCCAGAAGUAUGUGGCUCUCGAUAGGCCCAGGAAUUUUUAGUUGCCCAGUAACGGAUGUUUGUGUGAAGACUGUGCCAGAGAUUUGGGCAGGGAGCUGGCCUCCUUUUUGCCAAGGGCCAAUGAAGGAAGAUACCUUCUUUCCAAGUGGGUCUCAAUUACCACCAAAAAUGUCAGACUUGGGGCACCACUUGGGUCCAUUUCCUUCCCCUAUCUUUAUUUCUGACUUUAUUUCCCCUUUAAAAGCCACAGAGCCAUCAGUCACUCAGCUGGCACCCCUGGGUAGGCAUCAAAUUCCCACUCUGCUUCUGUGCUCCGGGAGAACUCUCGGGCUCUGAUCUGACAAAGGAAAGAUGGCCUUCAGACCCUGAGGGCUGGUUGCUUGGCUUGCUGGGGUAUGGGAGGUGAGGGGGAGCCAUCUUCCUCCCUGAGCUGGGUGAUUGAUUUGCCUUCAUUCCAGGAAGCACACAGUUUGUACAUGGGCAGUAUGGACCAGGCCAUGGUCAGUACAGGAAGAGUCUUUUCCAGCAAUAGGGAACCAAGUCCUUGUUCCAGACUCCUGAGCAAGAGCCAGUAGAACCCAAUAGCGACACCUCCAGUACUGCUGCCUCCAUCAACUGCUACAAAAAGUUGGGGGGACAGACAUAGCCAGAAAUCUCUGGCUCCAAUAGAAUGAAUGGAGGUUUCUUACUGACAGGGCUUUCAGUGUGCCCUUUCAGAGGGUUCCCUUUUCCCAAGCCCAUGGGCAUUUCUAUUUCCAGAUACAAGCAGCUUGAUAGGAGACUGUGCUGGGUACUUCAUUCUCAAUAUUCUCCAAAUCUCAAGUGUGAUGAAGAACUCAGAAUCUGUGUCUCCAUUUCCACCACUUAGCCUUUUUCAUCCAAAGGGUUUCUGCAUGGACUUUAUGCAGAGCCAGUGUCUUAGAGUAAUAUCCUUUUCUUUCAGCUUGGGACUUUGGCGGUGUCCUUUGGAUGGUGAUAUAGGUCUUCCUUUGUGGCCACCCCCACACCCAAUGUGUGUAGAGAUACCCAGGGAGAGUGCUUGAGGGUAGUCGAAGCCAGUGGUUAGGGGAGGAUCCUGCCUCCUGUGUGGGAGAAGAAGAAGGGAUGAUAGACAUGUGCCCCUCUUUGAUUUGACCCAUGCCCAUUGGGUUGCAGAACUUGGACUCCUAUCCCGUUGCUGCUUUUCUCACCUGGUCACAGUCACCCACCAAGACCGAGGGGCUGCCCUGUCCACAACCAAAUUCCAAGGAUUGGAGGUCCUCAAGAAUACUGCCCAGGGGUGAACCAACUGCUCUUCAGAGUGAAAGCAUCUUUAACAGCCAUAAAAGAAGACAGGUCCUGAAGAAUACUGCAAAUGAAUGGGUGAACUGUCUGUGCUUCAGAUGAAGGCAUCUGUAGCAGCCAAUGGUUGGAGUUCUGCUGUCUAACUAUUACCAUGACAACUCCAGGCUUUCAAGCACCAAGUCAUCAGUGACUGUGGCUCUGUGGAAGUAUUCCUUCAACAAGCAAUGCCCUGGCCACUUCUGGAAGCUAAAUGCCCAUCUGGGAACCAUUUGCUUUUCCAUAUGAAGACAUCUCAAGCAGUCAGAGGAGAGAGGCAACCUGGGUAACCACCAAUACCAAGCCCCACAAGGUCAGUCAUAGGUAGUUAAUCAUUAUUUGGGGAUAUCAGAAACGGAUUGCUCUAGGCUAGCAUAGGAAUGCAGUGGGAGCUGGCCACCAAUCCCUGGGCAUUCGCUGUGUGAGUGAAAGCCCUACCACAUUUCAAUGUGACUCAAGACCUCCUUAGAAAAACAGCUAGGGGAUCAGAGUGGAUCCAUGAUGGGUCAAAGGUUUUCAUUUCCGCAGAGAAUAGGAUAAAACUGAGAGGAAACUGACGUUCCCUGUUGCUCUUCUGCCCACAGUUGAUGAUGCUUCUUCCUAAUUCUCUGGCUUUACCUAUACACCAACAUUUUGUCUGGCACCUUCAAGUGCCCUAUGUCUUUUUCUUGUGAAAACAUUUCUAAAAGGCAAGUCCCAAGGGGCUUUUUGCCCAACCUAUGCCAGAGUCAGGAUGACUUGGCCAGUCUCCCCAAUUAAAAUGAGGGGACAUUGCUCUUAGGUCUGGCCUUGAAUUCCCCAUAGUGGGGACUUACUUCAAAAAAGCAAGGGGAUGGGAGUGGGUACCCAGAAAGCCAAAGAUCUUCAUUUCACAUGAGAGUAGGAUAAUUCUGGGAAGAAAGAGAAUAGCACAGUCUCCUACCAAGCUCGCUGUUUUCUGAAGCAACAAACACAUGUGGGCUGGGUAAAUGGGAAUCAUCCAUCUGCUUCAUGAGGGAGCAGAAGGAAAGCUGAGGGCCAAACACAAGCUAGCAUUACCUGACCACCCCCACAUAGGAUAUGUGUGACAUUCCUCAGGCACUCCUGGCUGCCCAAGGGCAAAGAAAAUGACAGAAAACAAAUGGAGACUCCAUCAAUGGACAAGUAUCUUAGUAAAUCACAAGAAAAAGGCAGAGGCAUUGUGAGACCCAAGGUAUUUAACAAAAACCCCCUACCCCUGGACAAGCAGAGCAAGACUAACUCCAUUUUGUGCUACACCCACCAUCUCAUGUAUAACCCCCACAUGACCUACUUAUUGUUUAAGACAAUC